Molecule: ribosomal RNA, 443 nt
Filed under: uncultured bacterium
Lineage: Bacteria
Description: partial 16S ribosomal RNA
Rfam family: Bacterial small subunit ribosomal RNA
Source: RNAcentral
CCUACGGGUGGCAGCAGUGGGGAAUAUUUGGCAAUGGGCGCAAGCCUGACCCAGCAACGCCGCGUGCAGGAAGAAGGCUUUCGGGUUGUAAACUUCUUUUGUCAGGGACGAAGCAAGUGACGGUACCUGACGAAUAAGCCACGGCGAACUACGUGACAGCAGCCGCGGUAAUACGUAGGUGGCAAGCGUUAUCCGGAGUUACUGGGUGUAAAGGGCGUGUAGGCGGAACUGCAAGUCAGAUGUGAAAACCACGGGCUCAACAUGUGGCCUGCAUUUGAAACUGUAGUUCGUGAGAACUGGAGAGGCAGACGGAAUUCCUAGUGUAGCAGUGAAAUGCGUAGAUAUUAGGAGGAACACCAGUGGCGAAGGCGGGCUGCUGGACAGCAACUGACGCUGAGGCGCGAAAGCGUGGGGAGCAAACAGGAUUAUAUACCCGGGUAGUC